Molecule: unclassified non-coding RNA, 307 nt
Filed under: plant metagenome
Description: partial contains 5.8S ribosomal RNA, internal transcribed spacer 2, and large subunit ribosomal RNA
Rfam family: 5.8S ribosomal RNA (bases 1-105)
Source: RNAcentral
AAACUGCGAUAAGUAGUGUGAAUUGCAGAAUUUAGCGAAUCAUCGAAUCUUUGAACGCACAUUGCGCCCCUUGGUAUUCCAUGGGGCAUGCCUGUUCGAGCGUCAUUUCAACCCUCAAGCACUGCUUGGUGUUGGGCGUUUGUCCCGCCUACGCGCGUGGACUCGCCUCAAAGUCAUUGGCAGCUGUUCCCCUUCGGCUCGUAAGCGCAGCACAGUCGGCGCCCGGAGCUCUGGUGGGAUGGCGUCCAGCAAGCUAUAUUUUCAGGCUUGACCUCGGAUCAGGUAGGGAUACCCGCUGAACUUAAGC